This 372-nucleotide ribosomal RNA is filed under the name uncultured bacterium. RNAcentral describes it as "bacterial SSU rRNA". It matches the Rfam family "Bacterial small subunit ribosomal RNA", at positions 29 to 402 of the family's 1533-position model. The record is from RNAcentral.
AUUAAACGCUGGCGGCAUGCCUUACACAUGCAAGUCGAACGGCAGCACGGGGGCAACCUUGGUGGCGAGUGGCGAACGGGUGAGUAAAGCAUCGGAACGUGCCCUGGAGUGGGGGAUAACGUAGCGAAAGUUACGCUAAUACCGCAUAUUCUGUGAGCAGGAAAGCAGGGGAUCGCAAGACCUUGCGCUCUGGGAGCGGCCGAUGUCGGAUUAGCUAGUUGGUGGGGUAAAGGCCUACCAAGGCGACGAUCCGUAGCGGGUCUGAGAGGAUGAUCCGCCACACUGGGACUGAGACACGGCCCAGACUCCUACGGGAGGCAGCAGUGGGGAAUAUUGGACAAUGGGCGCAAGCCUGAUCCAGCCAUGCCGCGU